AACGAACGCUGGCGGCGUGGAUAAGACAUGCAAGUCGAACGGGAUUUUUCUGUAGCAAUACAGGAAAAAGUCUAGUGGCGAACGGGUGCGUAACACGUGAGCAACCUGCCGUGAAGUGGGGGAUAGCUCGCCGAAAGGCGAAUUAAUACCGCAUGUGGCCAAGGAAGACAUCUUCCUGACGCCAAAGCCGGGGCAACCUGGCGCUUCUCGAGGGGCUCGCGGCCUAUCAGCUUGUUGGUGAGGUAACGGCUCACCAAGGCUAUGACGGGUAGCUGGUCUGAGAGGACGACCAGCCACACUGGAACUGAGACACGGUCCAGACACCUACGGGUGGCAG
RNAcentral lists this ribosomal RNA (337 nucleotides) under uncultured Verrucomicrobiota bacterium. RNAcentral's name for it is "bacterial SSU rRNA". It matches the Rfam family "Bacterial small subunit ribosomal RNA", at positions 29 to 351 of the family's 1533-position model. The record is from RNAcentral. Lineage: Bacteria; Pseudomonadati; Verrucomicrobiota.